Molecule: ribosomal RNA, 245 nt
Filed under: Escherichia coli
Lineage: Bacteria; Pseudomonadati; Pseudomonadota; Gammaproteobacteria; Enterobacterales; Enterobacteriaceae
Description: partial 16S ribosomal RNA
Rfam family: Bacterial small subunit ribosomal RNA
Source: RNAcentral
AAAUUGAAGAGUUUGAUCAUGGCUCAGAUUGAACGCUGGCGGCAGGCCUAACACAUGCAAGUCGAACGGUAACAGGAAACAGCUUGCUGUUUCGCUGACGAGUGGCGGACGGGUGAGUAAUGUCUGGGAAACUGCCCGAUGGAGGGGGAUAACUACUGGAAACGGUAGCUAAUACCGCAUAACGUCGCAAGACCAAAGAGGGGGACCUUAGGGCCUCUUGCCAUCGGAUGUGCCCAGAUGGGAUU